GGGGGCGUCCUGGAUUCGACUAUGGGAUUGGUGGCAGGGUAAGCAGGCCGUGGUUGAUCGAAUGGCCACGUUAAAAAUCGAUCAACUUAGUAGCUGCCAACAACAGCAACUAUUCUCCGGUGGCCCUGGCUGCUUAAUAGCGCCAGCGCUUCUAUAGCCGGAUGCGGCACCCGGACGCACGAUAGGGGUUAAACCGCAUCAAGAAUCGUGCUCAGCCACCGCCGGAUGCCCGGACCGGCGUGGUGAAAACUUACGGGAUGGCGUCUGGUGAGGCUGCGGCUGCCCACACCCAGGCGUGACGACGACAACGCCGCUAUGCCUGUAGAAAACCUUGCUUGACCACCUGAUAGGACGCGGGUUCGAUUCCCGCCGCCUCCACCA
RNAcentral lists this transfer-messenger RNA (381 nucleotides) under Deltaproteobacteria bacterium. It matches the Rfam family "transfer-messenger RNA". Rfam says of the family: Bacterial tmRNA, also known as 10Sa RNA or SsrA, is named for its dual tRNA and mRNA-like properties. The record is from RNAcentral. Lineage: Bacteria; Pseudomonadati; Myxococcota; Myxococcia.